RNAcentral lists this ribosomal RNA (2900 nucleotides) under Klebsiella pneumoniae. RNAcentral describes it as "bacterial LSU rRNA". It matches the Rfam family "Bacterial large subunit ribosomal RNA". RNAcentral also lists the same sequence under 1 other name. The record is from RNAcentral. Lineage: Bacteria; Pseudomonadati; Pseudomonadota; Gammaproteobacteria; Enterobacterales; Enterobacteriaceae.
UUAAGCGACUAAGCGUACACGGUGGAUGCCCUGGCAGUCAGAGGCGAUGAAGGACGUGCUAAUCUGCGAAAAGCGUCGGUAAGGUGAUAUGAACCGUUACAGCCGGCGAUGUCCGAAUGGGGAAACCCAGUGCAAUUCGUUGCACUAUCGUUAACUGAAUACAUAGGUUAACGAGGCGAACCGGGGGAACUGAAACAUCUAAGUACCCCGAGGAAAAGAAAUCAACCGAGAUUCCCCCAGUAGCGGCGAGCGAACGGGGAGCAGCCCAGAGUCUGAAUCAGCUUGUGUGUUAGUGGAACGGUCUGGAAAGUCCGACGGUACAGGGUGAUAGUCCCGUACACCAAAAUGCACAGGCUGUGAACUCGAAGAGUAGGGCGGGACACGUGGUAUCCUGUCUGAAUAUGGGGGGACCAUCCUCCAAGGCUAAAUACUCCUGACUGACCGAUAGUGAACCAGUACCGUGAGGGAAAGGCGAAAAGAACCCCGGCGAGGGGAGUGAAAAAGAACCUGAAACCGUGUACGUACAAGCAGUGGGAGCACCUUCGGGUGUGACUGCGUACCUUUUGUAUAAUGGGUCAGCGACUUAUAUUCUGUAGCAAGGUUAACCGUAUAGGGGAGCCGCAGGGAAACCGAGUCUUAACUGGGCGUUAAGUUGCAGGGUAUAGACCCGAAACCCGGUGAUCUAGCCAUGGGCAGGUUGAAGGUUGGGUAACACUAACUGGAGGACCGAACCGACUAAUGUUGAAAAAUUAGCGGAUGACUUGUGGCUGGGGGUGAAAGGCCAAUCAAACCGGGAGAUAGCUGGUUCUCCCCGAAAGCUAUUUAGGUAGCGCCUCGUGAACUCAUCUUCGGGGGUAGAGCACUGUUUCGGCUAGGGGGUCAUCCCGACUUACCAACCCGAUGCAAACUACGAAUACCGAAGAAUGUUAUCACGGGAGACACACGGCGGGUGCUAACGUCCGUCGUGAAGAGGGAAACAACCCAGACCGCCAGCUAAGGUCCCAAAGUCAUGGUUAAGUGGGAAACGAUGUGGGAAGGCACAGACAGCCAGGAUGUUGGCUUAGAAGCAGCCAUCAUUUAAAGAAAGCGUAAUAGCUCACUGGUCGAGUCGGCCUGCGCGGAAGAUGUAACGGGGCUAAACCAUGCACCGAAGCUGCGGCAGCGACACUAUGUGUUGUUGGGUAGGGGAGCGUUCUGUAAGCCUGCGAAGGUGACCUGUGAGGGUUGCUGGAGGUAUCAGAAGUGCGAAUGCUGACAUAAGUAACGAUAAAGCGGGUGAAAAGCCCGCUCGCCGGAAGACCAAGGGUUCCUGUCCAACGUUAAUCGGGGCAGGGUGAGUCGACCCCUAAGGCGAGGCCGAAAGGCGUAGUCGAUGGGAAACAGGUUAAUAUUCCUGUACUUGGUGUUACUGCGAAGGGGGGACGGAGAAGGCUAUGUUAGCCGGGCGACGGUUGUCCCGGUUUAAGCAUGUAGGCUGGUUAUCCAGGCAAAUCCGGAUAAUCAAGGCUGAGGUGUGAUGACGAGGCACUACGGUGCUGAAGUAACAAAUGCCCUGCUUCCAGGAAAAGCCUCUAAGCAUCAGGUAACAUCAAAUCGUACCCCAAACCGACACAGGUGGUCAGGUAGAGAAUACCAAGGCGCUUGAGAGAACUCGGGUGAAGGAACUAGGCAAAAUGGUGCCGUAACUUCGGGAGAAGGCACGCUGGUGUGUAGGUGAAGCCCCUGCGGGUGGAGCUGAGACCAGUCGAAGAUACCAGCUGGCUGCAACUGUUUAUUAAAAACACAGCACUGUGCAAACACGAAAGUGGACGUAUACGGUGUGACGCCUGCCCGGUGCCGGAAGGUUAAUUGAUGGGGUUAUCCGUAAGGAGAAGCUCUUGAUCGAAGCCCCGGUAAACGGCGGCCGUAACUAUAACGGUCCUAAGGUAGCGAAAUUCCUUGUCGGGUAAGUUCCGACCUGCACGAAUGGCGUAAUGAUGGCCAGGCUGUCUCCACCCGAGACUCAGUGAAAUUGAACUCGCUGUGAAGAUGCAGUGUACCCGCGGCAAGACGGAAAGACCCCGUGAACCUUUACUAUAGCUUGACACUGAACAUUGAGCCUUGAUGUGUAGGAUAGGUGGGAGGCUUUGAAGCGUGGACGCCAGUCUGCGUGGAGCCAACCUUGAAAUACCACCCUUUAAUGUUUGAUGUUCUAACGUUGGCCCCUUACCGGGGUUGCGGACAGUGUCUGGUGGGUAGUUUGACUGGGGCGGUCUCCUCCCAAAGCGUAACGGAGGAGCACGAAGGUUAGCUAAUCCUGGUCGGACAUCAGGAGGUUAGUGCAAUGGCAUAAGCUAGCUUGACUGCGAGCGUGACGGCGCGAGCAGGUGCGAAAGCAGGUCAUAGUGAUCCGGUGGUUCUGAAUGGAAGGGCCAUCGCUCAACGGAUAAAAGGUACUCCGGGGAUAACAGGCUGAUACCGCCCAAGAGUUCAUAUCGACGGCGGUGUUUGGCACCUCGAUGUCGGCUCAUCACAUCCUGGGGCUGAAGUAGGUCCCAAGGGUAUGGCUGUUCGCCAUUUAAAGUGGUACGCGAGCUGGGUUUAGAACGUCGUGAGACAGUUCGGUCCCUAUCUGCCGUGGGCGCUGGAGAAUUGAGGGGGGCUGCUCCUAGUACGAGAGGACCGGAGUGGACGCAUCACUGGUGUUCGGGUUGUCAUGCCAAUGGCACUGCCCGGUAGCUAAAUGCGGAAGAGAUAAGUGCUGAAAGCAUCUAAGCACGAAACUUGCCCCGAGAUGAGUUCUCCCUGAGACUUUAAGUCUCCUGAAGGAACGUUGAAGACGACGACGUUGAUAGGCCGGGUGUGUAAGCGCAGCGAUGCGUUGAGCUAACCGGUACUAAUGAACCGUGAGGCUUAACCUU